ACGGCCGUACCAUGCUGAAUAUACCGGUUCUCGUUAGAUCACCGAAGUUAAGCAUCAUUGGGCGCGGUCAGUAUUUGGGUGGGUGACCACCUGGGAACACUGCGUGCCGUU
RNAcentral lists this ribosomal RNA (111 nucleotides) under Caerostris darwini. Lineage: Eukaryota; Metazoa; Arthropoda; Arachnida; Araneae; Araneidae. The record is from RNAcentral.